This 543-nucleotide ribosomal RNA is filed under the name uncultured Planococcus sp. RNAcentral's name for it is "bacterial SSU rRNA". It matches the Rfam family "Bacterial small subunit ribosomal RNA", at positions 89 to 619 of the family's 1533-position model. The record is from RNAcentral. Lineage: Bacteria; Bacillati; Bacillota; Bacilli; Caryophanales; Caryophanaceae.
GGUUUAGCGGCGGACGGGUGAGUAACACGUGGGCAACCUGCCCUGCAGAUCGGGAUAACUCCGGGAAACCGGUGCUAAUACCGAAUAGUUUGUUUCACCUCCUGGUGAAACACGGAAAGACGGUUUCGGCUGUCACUGCAGGAUGGGCCCGCGGCGCAUUAGCUAGUUGGUGGGGUAAUGGCCCACCAAGGCGACGAUGCGUAGCCGACCUGAGAGGGUGAUCGGCCACACUGGGACUGAGACACGGCCCAGACUCCUACGGGAGGCAGCAGUAGGGAAUCUUCCGCAAUGGACGCAAGUCUGACGGAGCAACGCCGCGUGAGUGACGAAGGUUUUCGGAUCGUAAAACUCUGUUGUGAGGGAAGAACACGUACCAGCUAACUACUGGUACCUUGACGGUACCUCACCAGAAAGCCACGGCUAACUACGUGCCAGCAGCCGCGGUAAUACGUAGGUGGCAAGCGUUGUCCGGAAUUAUUGGGCGUAAAGCGCGCGCAGGCGGUCCUUUAAGUCUGAUGUGAAAGCCCACGGCUCAACCGUGGA